Molecule: ribosomal RNA, 487 nt
Filed under: uncultured bacterium
Lineage: Bacteria
Description: bacterial SSU rRNA
Rfam family: Bacterial small subunit ribosomal RNA
Source: RNAcentral
GAACGCUAGCUACAGGCUUAACACAUGCAAGUCGAGGGGCAGCAUGAAUCAAGCUUGCUUGAUUUGAUGGCGACCGGCGCACGGGUGCGUAACGCGUAUCCAAUCUACCCAUGGCGUCAGGGAUAGCCUUGCGAAAGUAAGAUUAAUACCUGAUGGUCUCGCACUGGGACAUCCCUAUGCGAGUAAAGAUUUAUCGGCGAUGGAUGAGGAUGCGUCCGAUUAGCUAGUUGGCGGGGUAACGGCCCACCAAGGCUACGAUCGGUAGGGGUUCUGAGAGGAAGGUCCCCACACUGGAACUGAGACACGGUCCAGACUCCUACGGGAGGCAGCAGUGAGGAAUAUUGGUCAAUGGUCGGGAGACUGAACCAGCCAAGUAGCGUGAGGGAUGACUGCCCUAUGGGUUGUAAACCUCUUUGUUUGGGAAUAAAGUGCCGUACGCGUACGGUUUGUAUGUACCUUACGAAUAAGCAUCGGCUAAUUCCGUGCC